CUGGCCCGGCCGGCGGCUCCUAGCGCACGGCAGGCGGCUGAGGCGGCACUUCCGGGUUGGCUUUCUCCAUGUUGGUUUCGGGAACGCGAAGGGGCGGGGCCUCGAGGUCAGGGGUCAGCGCCUCCCUGGUUGCCGUGGCGACUGACGGCGCGCGACGCGGGCGCGACUGCGGGGACUCUGGGCUCCUGGCUUGUUGCUGCUUGGGCCUGGCCCAGUGGCGGGUCCUCGGGACCUGGGAGGCUUGCAGAAGCCGGCAGAUGGAGAUUCAGAAACAUAAGGACAAGAAGAAGCUUUCUCAAGGUGAUGGAUGGGAUUUUCUGAGAGUUGGAAGGCAGGAUUUGAGCCACAGAGAGCCACUGUAACAUAUGAAGAUUCUGGUGAUGAUGCUGGCUCUCUGGCUACCUAAGAGGAAGAAAGCUUUAUCAAUCCAUCUCUCAAGGCUAUAGUCCGUCUCCCAUCACCUGUCCCCCUUUUAAUACCCUUUCCCCAGCUUUUUUAUCCAAUAAAUAUUUACUGGGCA
Long non-coding RNA from Sapajus apella (tufted capuchin), 520 nucleotides. RefSeq lists it as uncharacterized. NCBI's taxonomy places the organism in Eukaryota, Metazoa, Chordata, Mammalia, Primates, Cebidae. The record is from RefSeq and is a predicted model, not a curated record. The transcript is spliced from 3 exons.